Molecule: ribosomal RNA, 403 nt
Filed under: bacterium
Lineage: Bacteria
Description: partial 16S ribosomal RNA
Rfam family: Bacterial small subunit ribosomal RNA
Source: RNAcentral
UGGGGAAUAUUGCACAAUGGGGGAAACCCUGAUGCAGCGACGCCGCGUGAACGAAGAAGGUAUUCGUAUCGUAAAGUUCUGUCCUAUGGGAAGAUAAUGACAGUAACAUAGAAGAAAGCUCCGGCUAAAUACGUGCCAGCAGCCGCGGUAAUACGUAUGGAGCGAGCGUUGUCCGGAAUUAUUGGGCGUAAAGGGUACGCAGGCGGUUUAAUAAGUCGAAUGUUAAAGAUCGGGGCUCAACCCCGCAAAGCAUUGGAAACUGAUAAACUUGAGUAGUGGAGAGGAAAGUGGAAUUCCUAGUGUAGUGGUGAAAUACGUAGAUAUUAGGAGGAAUACCAGUAGCGAAGGCGACUUUCUGGACACAAACUGACGCUGAGGUACGAAAGCGUGGGGAGCAAACAGG